GUCGGAAAUACGUCAUAAUCUUUGCCGCGAACAUCUAUCAUUUUAGUUGGGGGAAAAUAAACUUUCGUUAUGAAACGAAAACAAUGGCAAGGGUUGUUGUGUCUUUAAGUGAUUUUUAAUAUAUAUGUUUUGUAAGAUGGUUUUGUUAUUUUCAAUCAACUCUGGUGACUAAGAUGGUUUUGUGGUUUUAAACGCACAAGUCAGACAACUUGUGUUUUUAAAACAAAAAAAACUAGAGCCUAAUGUCAUGUGAAAAACUUUUUGCAUCUAGCCAAAAUAAUUAUAAGCAUAUAAUGCUUCAUAAUUAUCUAUAGCCUCAAAAGAAAAUAUUAUAAGACUUUUUAAUAAAUAAUUAUAAACGUCAUGGUAUUGAACUCAUGGCCAUUCCGUUUGAUCAUCUUUCCAAGUAUUUGCAAGGAACUUGUAUAGACAUCGGUUGAUUUCAAGGAUUGCAAAUUUAAUUAUAUACCUUUUUGCGGCGUUAAAAUCUAAUAACUCAAAGUAUUCGUAAACCGAUAUUUCUUUUUUUAAACUCUUUAAAUCACUUUUUCGUAAUAAUUGUCCUGCUUUAUUAACUCAACUAAUCAUUUGUUCUCCCCCAUCCAAGAUGGUAACAACUUGCGCUAUUGUUUUUUUGCAUAACCACGUGACUUUCUGACUGCGAGGAUAUUUCAUCUUUACAUAAGCUGAUUUUAUUAUAGGCCGUGGAUAGAAUACCGAAAGUUUUUAUAUAAACUCUCUAUAUAAAAAUGAGAUUUGUUUUUACACGUGACCUUUAGCAAUCUAUGAACUCGCUAUUAAAAGUUAAAACUUUCGGUACUCUAUCCACUGCGUUUAUUAUAUUUUAUUACAAUGUAAUAUUAAUAUGUAAUUUAUAUGUAAUUUACAUAUAAAAUAAAAACUUUUCUUCUUGAGAAUGUUUUAAUGACAAUGAUAAGGAUUCUUAAAGGUAUUGGCAGGCUGUACCUGACGACUUACCUUCCUGCAAUGAAAUUAAAAGAACAAAAACUUUCAAUAUUGAUUAGUCUAUUAAAAUUUUAUUGUCAUUUUUACAUGGUUUCUACUAACUAUAAUUGUAAGUGUAAAAACAUGCGCAAACUGGCAA
Molecule: non-coding RNA, 1105 nt
Organism: Hydra vulgaris (swiftwater hydra)
Lineage: Eukaryota; Metazoa; Cnidaria; Hydrozoa; Anthoathecata; Hydridae
Source: RefSeq, a predicted model, not a curated record